This 506-nucleotide ribosomal RNA is filed under the name uncultured bacterium. RNAcentral describes it as "partial 16S ribosomal RNA". It matches the Rfam family "Bacterial small subunit ribosomal RNA", at positions 30 to 523 of the family's 1533-position model. The record is from RNAcentral.
AUUGAACGCUGGCGGCAGGCCUAACACAUGCAAGUCGAACGGCAGCGGGGGGUAGCUUGCUAUCCUGCCGGCGAGUGGCGGACGGGUGAGUAAUGCAUGGGGAGCUGCCCAGUCGAGGGGGAUAACAACUGGAAACGGUUGCUAAUACCGCAUACGCCCUAAGGGGGAAAGGUGAGGAACUUCGGUCCUACCGCGAUUGGAUGCGCCCAUGUGGGAUUAGCUAGUUGGUGAGGUAACGGCUCACCAAGGCGACGAUCUCUAGCUGGUCUGAGAGGAUGACCAGCCACACUGGAACUGAGACACGGUCCAGACUCCUACGGGAGGCAGCAGUGGGGAAUAUUGCACAAUGGGGGAAACCCUGAUGCAGCCAUGCCGCGUGUGUGAAGAAGGCCUUCGGGUUGUAAAGCACUUUCAGUCAGGAGGAAGGGGUGAUGGCUAAUAUCCAUCAUCAUUGACGUUACUGACAGAAGAAGCACCGGCUAACUCCGUGCCAGCAGCCGCGGUAA